This 686-nucleotide small RNA is filed under the name Pyricularia oryzae. Its description in RNAcentral is "Magnaporthe oryzae sRNA M_BR32_EuGene_00127911". Lineage: Eukaryota; Fungi; Ascomycota; Sordariomycetes; Magnaporthales; Pyriculariaceae. The record is from RNAcentral.
AUAAAACAAAUAUACCACCAAAAAUAAAAUAUUUAAUGGCAUAUAUAAAUAUUUUUUUAAUUUCUAUUAAAUGUUUUAUUUUUUUUUUAAAAUAUUAAAAAAAGAUUUGCUAAUAUAAAUAAAAUUUUAAUAUUUGUAAACAAUAUAUUUAAAGUAAAUUAAUAAACGAGUUUGGUUUAAAAAACUUACGCAAAAAACAAACGUUUUUUACAAUGGAAAAUUUGGUAAAAUUGCAUUAAUUUUUAUAGUUCGAAGACUUCCAUAAUUAUGUAUAUAAGGGGUAUCGGGUAAACGACGCUAAUUUAUUAAACACACAUUGUUUUAAUUUUGCCAAGGUAACAAAAUUAUAUAAAGCAAAAUACAAAGUAAAAUGCUUUUUUAAUUUUAUAUUAUUUAAUUAAAACUGAUUUUAAAAUAGGAUUUCGUUUUGUUAAUUGGUUGGAAAAACGGAAAGGUUAAAUUUAAAUUGAAAGUACGAAAAGCAAUUUAUAAAGAAAAAAACGAUAAGCAAUAAAUCGAUCCGCCAUUAAAUACCCGUAAUACAAUUAUUUAUUUUUGCUUAAACCAAAAUAUAUUAUAUUAAAAAAAAUAUUGUUAAAUUCCGGCCCGCCGCCUUUAUAUUUACAACCAAUAUUUUUUUGGUUGGCAAAUAUUAUUUUUUUUAAAAUUAUAAAAGGGAAUUUUUU